GAUGAACGCUGGCGGCGUGCCUAAUGCAUGCAAGUCGAGCGAACAGAUGAGGAGCUUGCUCCUCUGACGUUAGCGGCGGACGGGUGAGUAACACGUGGAUAACCUACCUAUAAGACUGGGAUAACUUCGGGAAACCGGAGCUAAUACCGGAUAAUAUAUUGAACCGCAUGGUUCAAUAGUGAAAUACGGUUUUGCUGUCACUUAUAGAUGGAUCCGCGCCGCAUUAGCUAGUUGGUAAGGUAACGGCUUACCAAGGCAACGAUGCGUAGCCGACCUGAGAGGGUGAUCGGCCACACUGGAACUGAGACACGGUCCAGACUCCUACGGGAGGCAGCAGUAGGGAAUCUUCCGCAAUGGGCGAAAGCCUGACGGAGCAACGCCGCGUGAGUGAUGAAGGUCUUCGGAUCGUAAAACUCUGUUAUUAGGGAAGAACAAAUGUGUAAGUAACUAUGCACGUCUUGACGGUACCUAAUCAGAAAGCCACGGCUAACUACGUG
RNAcentral lists this ribosomal RNA (497 nucleotides) under uncultured bacterium. RNAcentral describes it as "partial 16S ribosomal RNA". It matches the Rfam family "Bacterial small subunit ribosomal RNA", at positions 28 to 507 of the family's 1533-position model. The record is from RNAcentral.